GUUACAAGUACAAUUUAAGUGCUACAAUUUGUAAGUCUUUUAGCCGAGGUAGAGUCUGAAGAGGUGUGUCUUUCGUUUGCGGCGAAAGAUGUGAAGGAUCCUACUAUAUCCAUGGCCACCUUCUAGAAGGGAAUGUCAAAUACAGUAGAAGGAUUCUGUUGGAGGUCUUCUUUACCCCAAGAUGAGCUCUCAAAAGGUUUCCCCUCGACCACCAUCAGCCUCGGUGCACCAUCAGAGCCGGCCCCUUUAAAACACAUCAUCCAGGGGGGGAUCGGGAGAGGAAAAGAAGCAUGUGGCUGGUUUGGCUGCCACCAUGUUCAAGAACAAUAAAUUCUUUACAUCGUUCCUUAUAUUCC
Molecule: long non-coding RNA, 356 nt
Organism: Gasterosteus aculeatus aculeatus (three-spined stickleback)
Lineage: Eukaryota; Metazoa; Chordata; Actinopteri; Perciformes; Gasterosteidae
Source: Ensembl